GUCGGUGUCCCAAAUAUCAUGUAUGGCGACAACAUGGGAUUCGAUAUUCGAAUCGUAGUGACAUACAGUUCACUAGAUUGACUCAUGAAUUUCUCCAAGAUGCGCUUCAGUUCGCAUUCAUGAGGAAGUAUACACAAAGAAUUCUUGUUCAUUCUCACAAUGUGUUUUCAAAUGAAAACCAUUAGCAGGAAUGUCUUUAAAACUUAACAUGGUUCCUUAGAAUGUUGUGGAUAGUUCCACUAUCUGCGAAGCACUCAAUGUCUCUAUGAGACAUAACUACAAGGAGUAGAUAGGCGAGUAAAUAGUUCUACUUGAACCAUUUAGAAGGAUUGAAAGAAGCUACGAAAAGCUGCAAUCCCGAGAGUGCAUAAAAAUUUCCGCGCAGAAUGACCUUUGCGCACUAAAACAGCCAUAACUUCUUCGUUAAAAUAGAUAUGGACGAACCGUGAAAAUUUCUGAAAACUAGAAUCGUAGAGCUUUCCAAUGAUAUAAAGCUCACUGUCUGGUUCGUCCGGAGCUGUUCAAAAAGCUCAAACGAAGUUGACUAUCCAGAAAGGACAGAUUGCUGUUUUUCGCAGAAUUGGCAUGUGCGAAGCUGUGAAGCUUGCAGGUGGCGUGUAGGCUUUUGCCUUAGCCAAAAGUGACGUGUGUAUGAUCAAAACCAAGUCCUUUCGGUCGUUCUAAGGUCGUAAACUCCAUGACUAGUUAGCAAAAGCUCCUUGACAUGAACAUAAACUAACUCAGAGGACCUAGAGGAUCCGAUCAUGAUGAUAAUUUUCCAGCUUUGAUAAGUCUUCAACGUCUUUUGCAAGACGGUAAUUGGUUUAAUAGCGUAGGGGGAUCCAAAAUCAAAAGCUUUCGGUAACUCCAAGUCAGUAUGACCAGGCAUGUCCGUGGAGGGUCGGUAGUGCGAGGCACACUUAAAACCACUAUCUCCUUAAUUUCGGACAAUUCUAAGACAUCACACUAAGCUUGGAUGAGUCUAGUUGAACAAUUGAUGAUGAAAAAUCCGCUAUAGGGUAGAAGACUUAACCGGAAACACGUGG
This 1046-nucleotide long non-coding RNA is filed under the name Fragaria vesca (wild strawberry). RNAcentral describes it as "long non-coding RNA (FVES_LNC004193)". The record is from RNAcentral. Lineage: Eukaryota; Viridiplantae; Streptophyta; Magnoliopsida; Rosales; Rosaceae.